This 402-nucleotide ribosomal RNA is filed under the name uncultured bacterium. RNAcentral's name for it is "bacterial SSU rRNA". It matches the Rfam family "Bacterial small subunit ribosomal RNA", at positions 355 to 774 of the family's 1533-position model. The record is from RNAcentral.
UGGGGAAUCUUGCACAAUGGGGGCAACCCUGAUGCAGCGACGCCGCGUGAGCGAUGAAGCCCUUCGGGGCGUAAAGCUCUUUCGACCGGAACGAUAAUGACGGUUCCGGGAGAAGAAGCUGCGGCUAACUACGUGCCAGCAGCCGCGGUAAUACGUAGGCAGCAAGCGUUGUUCGGAGUUACUGGGCGUAAAGAGUGCGUAGGCGGUUUUCUAAGUUCGGUGUGAAAUCUCCCGGCUUAACUGGGAGGGUGCGCCGAAGACUGGGAAGCUGGAGUGUGGGAAAGGCAGGCGGAAUUCCUGGUGUAGCGGUGAAAUGCGUAGAUAUCAGGAGGAACACCGGCGGUGUAGACGGCUUGCUAGACCAUAACUGACGCUGAGGCACGAAAGCGUGGGUAGCAAACA